CAAAUAGCUCAGUUGGUUAGAGUGUGGGGCUUAUAACACCGAGUUUGCAGGUUUGAGCCCCAUAAGGGGCAGGU
Non-coding RNA from Podarcis lilfordi (Lilford's wall lizard), 74 nucleotides. The record is from the annotation of a GenBank genome assembly. Lineage: Eukaryota; Metazoa; Chordata; Lepidosauria; Squamata; Lacertidae.